This 500-nucleotide ribosomal RNA is filed under the name uncultured bacterium. RNAcentral's name for it is "partial 16S ribosomal RNA". It matches the Rfam family "Bacterial small subunit ribosomal RNA", at positions 30 to 523 of the family's 1533-position model. The record is from RNAcentral.
AUUGAACGCUGGCGGAAUGCUUUACACAUGCAAGUCGAACGGCAGCACGGACUUCGGUCUGGUGGCGAGUGGCGAACGGGUGAGUAAUGUAUCGGAACGUGCCCAGUCGUGGGGGAUAACGUAGUGAAAAUUACGCUAAUACCGCAUACGAUCUAUGGAUGAAAGCGGGGGAUCGCAAGACCUUGCGCGAUUGGACGGGGCGAUAUCAGAUUAGGCAGUUGGUGGGGUAAAGGCCCACCAAGCCAACGAUCUGUAGCUGGUCUGAGAGGACGACCAGCCACACUGGAACUGAGACACGGUCCAGACUCCUACGGGAGGCAGCAGUGGGGAAUUUUGGACAAUGGGCGCAAGCCUGAUCCAGCAAUGCCGCGUGCAGGAUGAAGGCCUUCGGGUUGUAAACUGCUUUUGUACGGAACGAAACGGUGAGCUCUAAUACAGUUUGCUAAUGACGGUACCGUAAGAAUAAGCACCGGCUAACUACGUGCCAGCAGCCGCGGUAA